This 400-nucleotide transfer-messenger RNA is filed under the name Bacteroidales. Its description in RNAcentral is "Caccoplasma merdipullorum Standard tmRNA". It matches the Rfam family "transfer-messenger RNA". Rfam says of the family: Bacterial tmRNA, also known as 10Sa RNA or SsrA, is named for its dual tRNA and mRNA-like properties. Its role is to liberate the mRNA from a stalled ribosome. RNAcentral also lists the same sequence under 2 other names. The record is from RNAcentral. Lineage: Bacteria; Pseudomonadati; Bacteroidota; Bacteroidia.
GGGGCUGUUUGGAUUUGACAGCGGGUAGAAGCGGUGUGUAAGCAUGCAGAGCGUCAUAAGUUUGCUCUAUAAUCUCAGCUUGUAAAAAAUUAAUUGGCGAAGAAAAUUACGCUCUCGCUGCAUAAGUUGAAGUUCAGUAAACUUGCUUAAUUCCGGUACAAGGUAUCGGAACGAGACAUCGCCGGGAAGCUGUUGUCCCGAAGCGUUCCCAUAAGGCGGUGCAGAUAAAUCGGGGAUAGUCCGACGCUUGUUCCGUGCGCAGGAUGAAAAUUAAGGAACUAAGGUGUACGAUUGGAGGCUUCUGUCCGGCGGACACCCUACAACCAAGCAGAAGAUAAGCAUGUAGAAAGCAUAUUGGUUCCUCGUAUGGACGAGGGUUCAACUCCCUCCAGCUCCACCA